ACUCAACUCAUCCUUAAUAAGGAGAGCCAAAUCUUGGCGUUGUGACCGCACCCUUAGGCGUGCAACAGCCUGGGAGGAAGAUGGAGAUGGAGUCUGGGGUGCCUUGGCCCAAGAGCUGUCCUUCGGAGCUCUGCUCAGCAGCAAACAGCCCUUAGCAGCUGCUGAGCUACGGUGGGAUAGGGCAGGAUAGGGCGGGUUCGGAGCUUGUUCUGUUCUAUCCAACUGUUCAUAAAAACUAACCUUCCUAUUCAAACUUCGGUCCAGUAAUAGAAAGAUUCAAGAUGUUCAUCAAUUCCAAGUGGCUUACUUCUCGUACAGAUCUAUUUUAUUUGAAGAAUGCUUUCAAGUUUUGUAGAAACCAGAAAUUCAGCAGCUCCGGCGUAGGGAUUAUUUCAUAAACCCCCUUAAAGGAAAAGUAAUCUGAAGAGAGAGUAGAUGAAAACCACUGGGCAUGAAAUUAUAAGGCGGGAGGCUAUUUUUUGCUCUUCAGAUUCCUCCAUUUCUCCAGGCCCUCUACCCCAAAGCACAAUGUCAACUGUGGAGGAAUAUUCCUCGUGAGAUCACUACUAAGUCUGUGAGGGCUGCAUGUACACUGGGGCAUUUGAAUUCAUAUAAUAUUAAAUUACUUUUUAAGUAAUUUAAGUGCACUUACAAAGUCAGAAAGGUGUGUGUUUGGAUCAGUAGAGACCAUUCACUGAGCAAUAUGUUUUCGUUAUAACACAGUGAGCUAUGUUAUAGUUAGCAUAUUAGUUUGUAGUUUUUUUCCCUAAUGCAAAUAUAUGUAACCUUAAUUGAAUUGUUGAUGGAUUUUUUAAUAACAUUUAACAAAAUAUGCUUUAGUGCAUUGCCAAGGUUUUACUUAUAAGAACACACUUCACAAUUGGAAAUAAAAUCUUUCAAAGGGGA
This 906-nucleotide long non-coding RNA is filed under the name Mus musculus (house mouse). RNAcentral's name for it is "predicted gene, 48510". Lineage: Eukaryota; Metazoa; Chordata; Mammalia; Rodentia; Muridae. The record is from RNAcentral.